RNAcentral lists this ribosomal RNA (364 nucleotides) under Streptomyces olivoverticillatus. RNAcentral describes it as "bacterial SSU rRNA". It matches the Rfam family "Bacterial small subunit ribosomal RNA", at positions 100 to 498 of the family's 1533-position model. The record is from RNAcentral. Lineage: Bacteria; Bacillati; Actinomycetota; Actinomycetes; Kitasatosporales; Streptomycetaceae.
UNNCGGGUGAAUAACGUGGGCAAUCUGCCCUGCUCUCUGGGACAACCCUGGAAACGGGUAAUACCGGAUACUAUCUGCUUGGGCCAUGGUUCGAAAGUCCGGCGGUGCAUGAUGAGCCCGCGGCCUAUCAGCUUGUUGGUGAGGUAGUGGCUCUCCAGGAGACCACAGGUAGCCGGCCUGAGAGGGCGACCGGCCACACUGGAUCUGAGACACUGCCCAUACUCCUACGGGAGGAAUCAUUGGGGAAUAUUGCACAAUGGGCCAAAGCCUGAUGCAGCGACCCCGCGUGAGGGAUGACGGCCUUCUGGUUGUAAACCUCUUUCAGCAGGGAACAAUGACGGUACCUGCUGAAAAAGCGCCGGCU